This 275-nucleotide unclassified non-coding RNA is filed under the name uncultured fungus. RNAcentral describes it as "partial contains small subunit ribosomal RNA, internal transcribed spacer 1, and 5.8S ribosomal RNA". The stretch from base 1 to 73 matches the Rfam family "Eukaryotic small subunit ribosomal RNA", at positions 1759 to 1831 of the family's 1831-position model. Lineage: Eukaryota; Fungi. The record is from RNAcentral.
ACAAACUUGGUCAUUUAGAGGAAGUAAAAGUCGUAACAAGGUUUCCGUAGGUGAACCUGCGGAAGGAUCAUUAGAGAAAUUGCCGCACGCUCCGGCGUCGGCGUUACUCCCACACACACCCGUGAACUGUUGUUUGGAGCGCCCGCUACUAGCUUCGGCGAACGCGGCGUCCCGUCACAAAACGUCUUAUAGUGUAAUGAACGUCAUGUUAAUCUUAACAAAACAAAACUUUCAGCAACGGAUCUCUUGGCUCAUGCAUCGAUGAAGAACGCAGC